GAGCGACGCUGGCGGCAGGCCUAAUACAUGCAAGUCGAGCGGGUCCUUCGGGAUUAGCGGCGGACGGGUGAGUAACGCGUGGGAACGUGCCCUUUGGUACGGAACAACUGAGGGAAACUUCAGCUAAUACCGUAUGUGCCCUUCGGGGAAAGAUUUAUCGCCAUUGGAGCGGCCCGCGUUGGAUUAGGUAGUUGGUGAGGUAAAAGGCUCACCAAGCCUACGAUCCAUAGCUGGUCUGAGAGGAUGACCAGCCACACUGGGACUGAGACACGGCCCAGACUCCUACGGGAGGCAGCAGUAGGGAAUCUUGCGCAAUGGGCGAAAGCCUGACGCAGCCAUGCCGCGUGAAUGAUGAAGGUCUUAGGAUUGUAAAAUUCUUUCACCGGGGACGAUAAUGACGGUACCCGGAGAAGAAGCCCCGGCUAACUUCGUG
This 433-nucleotide ribosomal RNA is filed under the name uncultured bacterium. RNAcentral's name for it is "bacterial SSU rRNA". It matches the Rfam family "Bacterial small subunit ribosomal RNA", at positions 33 to 507 of the family's 1533-position model. The record is from RNAcentral.